GGCAAGUCCAGAGGAGCUGACCCAGGGACAAAGUUAGCUGCAGUAGUGGACAAGUGUACUCGGGCACCCUCCUCCAACCCUUCUGUUUGUCCCUUACCUUGGUUGGAGACGUGACUGCAGUCGCCGGUCCAAGCCGUUAGCAGGGGCAAGAAGAAACCAAAUUGCAAAAGAAAUUCCCGGACUUCGUAGCCCCCCAUGGUUCUGAGCUAUAUUGUUCAGAAUUCUUUUGUAUUCCUUCAGAACAUUGUUCUUCAAGAUAUAUGGGAUCGGGUUUCAGCUAAAGCACAAGAAAACUUGUAGAGGCUCAGGAGUACAAAAUAGAUCCCUGGUGACAAAAAUUCUGAAAUAUUUUCAUAGAAGAAAUUUGGGACAAGCUCCUGCUUCUGGGAGAUAUCUCGACUUCACUCUUCUCUGUCUAAUGCAUUAUGUACUUGGAUUAAUUAGAACAAAUGUGAUUUGCAUUGUCGAUCUCAAAAUACCUAA
Molecule: long non-coding RNA, 483 nt
Filed under: Mus caroli (Ryukyu mouse)
Lineage: Eukaryota; Metazoa; Chordata; Mammalia; Rodentia; Muridae
Description: lncRNA (MGP_CAROLIEiJ_G0002979.1)
Source: RNAcentral